UGUUUUAGACUCUCUCUUUGGCCCAGUGAUGCAUGUCUAAUUUUGAACUUCAUUCCAUUAAUUACUAGAGAAAGUUAAGCUGUGUUUACAUGUGCCGUUUGCCCAAACUGCUGUCUUGUGUAAAAUGAUAAGGAUCUGUGAUCCGUUUGGCCAAACAGUGGCAUUGAUCAGUUCAGUUUUUGGGAUGGGAGCAGUUUUGGGAGACGAUUUGUGGGGAUAUUUUGUAGAUGAUGAUUGCAUGUUGAUUGAGGAUAUAAAAAAAGAAAGGUGCUGCAAGAAAAAAAAAAGAAAAAAAAAAAGAAAAAAAAAAAGAAAAAAAAAAAAAAAAGAAAAAAGAAAGUUGCACCAGUUUGAGUUGAGCAUGUAGUAUCAUUGUUAUUGUUGGAGUUUUUCCCCGAAGUUUAGUUGCUUUCUUUCUUUCUCUAUGAACUUGAAAUUGUGGAUGAUGGUUUGGAUUAGAUGUGCACACUUUGAUCUUCACUGCUUGAGCUUAGGACCCCUAGGAUCUUGCCAACAUAAUGAAUGGUCCUUAGCCCCAUUACAACCAAUGAGAAAAGACCUUCUUGAGUUGCUAUGUGACCAUGACAUAUCACGACUAAGUGGAUUUUCCUUCUUGUGUGUGAAUUUCCAAAAUAAAUAUUUGAGAGAAGAGUGAAUCUUGAGAGGAACUUGUUGUUGCUUGAUUUGGACUAGAUAGACAAUGAAAACACUUGUUUGACAUUUCCUUUUCUUGAUUUGAGAGUUGAGAAUCGAUUGUGAGUUGCAUGGUUCGAUUUGGCAGUAUGUCAUGUUACUAGUGUUUUGAUGAUUACUUGGCUGUCGUUUUCUGUUAAGUUUUAGUGUUCUCGUCUUUUCUGUUCCUUUUUCCGUUUGAUUUUGUGUUCGUUGUUUCGUUAUUUGCUUUUAGAGUCUUUAGUGUCGUGUCAAGGAAGGAAGUUGUCUCUAGUGGCUGAUUUUCACCAUUGAAUUCUUCUUUUAUGUCAUACUUGAGGACAAGUAUGAUCUAAGUGUGAGGGGAUUUGAUGUGUGCAUUUUAGUUACUUAGUUUGGUGUGUGUUUCGCCAUGAUUUUAUAUGAUUUUACAUGGUUUGUGAUAUUUUGGCGCAGGAAUUAGAUGGAUUGGAGAUGGAUGCUCGUGGAUGGAAGAAGUUGGUGAAAGUUUAGAAUUAUGGAAGAAGUUGAUUGAUUUUGAAGAUGUUUAG
This 1202-nucleotide long non-coding RNA is filed under the name Salvia miltiorrhiza (redroot sage). RNAcentral's name for it is "long non-coding RNA (SMIL_LNC009575)". Lineage: Eukaryota; Viridiplantae; Streptophyta; Magnoliopsida; Lamiales; Lamiaceae. The record is from RNAcentral.